This 16038-nucleotide long non-coding RNA is filed under the name Volvox carteri. RNAcentral describes it as "long non-coding RNA (VCAR_LNC001640)". Lineage: Eukaryota; Viridiplantae; Chlorophyta; Chlorophyceae; Chlamydomonadales; Volvocaceae. The record is from RNAcentral.
CACGACGCGGCCACCAGCAGGUCAGCAAGCGACACCACAACGGGUUGCAAACCUGGUGCCUGUAGAACCGCCACCGCGGUGGUGACUGGCACACUCCCAGCAGCCAGCGGAAGUCCCUGCAGCGGCUGGACCGGUGGCAAGACGUCCUGCAGCCCCUGCACCUCCAACAACGGAGACGACUGGAAGAGGAGGGGGUGGCGAGUGGCGGUUGGGGGACGGGGAAAUUUAAGAAACAGCAGCAGUUCAGAUAUGGUGUGGUUGGUAAGGGUCGAGAUGAGGAACGAAACAUGCAUGUGUAUUAAUUAAGGGCUUUAUGUAGCCACAAACUCAGGACAACAUCGUUUCCUACCCAUGCAUUAAUCAUGUGAUACAUAUCCGCAACCCACUGUUGCGAGUAUUAUUGAAAGGGAAAGGGUGGAGAGCCGGGGAAUGGAUACUAACCCACCGAGUGAGCCACCAACCCACUACUGGCUCACGCUUCACCGCUCACCAGGUAGGCCGUGGCAAGCAGAUUGCUGAUCCUCCUUAUCACAUUGUCUCCUCCAAAGUCUCCGAACUGGCCUUUCUCGUUGAAGCUGCGACUUAGGCACUGAAGCAUAGGGCCCACCUCCUCCCUGUCCAGCUGGGAUAGGGACCCCAAAUCCGCGCUGUAGUCCUCCCGCGGAAACUGCGUCAAGAUGCGCCGACAUGCAGCUGUUUAAUUUCGGAACCAUGUUUAUAAAAACUACCGUACUGCACAGAGUAUCAUCGCGGCACAGCGUGUGAAUGAAGGGGUGCGGAAGGCAGGAAGGUAAGUACAUGCCUGUAUACCGUACAUAUACAUCAAUCUGUCAGUUGGGAACAUCGACUUUCCCCGCCGGACCAAGCACAUAUAACAUACACACACACACAUAUGCUUGAUGGGUAGCCAUUCGCGUCAUCUUAGAUCGCAUGAUGCAUGUCAUGUAGCUAAUUACAUAAAGACAUCUAUCCUAUAUUAUAUAUUCACAAACCAUGCGAUAAAGUAACCUAAUGACUCACAUUAAUAGUGGUAUCUAGACCCCAGAAUACGAUUGCGGCGAUAUCGAACGCCCGGGCCGCCAUCCGCUCGGUCUUGUAUGCUCCCAGGUAGUACUGCUUUCCCCUGUUCCUCUUUCCUGGAUGGUCCUUCUUGCGAGGCACUGUUGGGUCCCACAGGUGAGCCUCCCAUUUCUUUGUGUUCUUGUGCCUGCAAGGUUAGGGAUUGGGGCGGUUUCGGCGAGGCCAGGAGGGGACUGGGUGCAUGAAAUGCCGCAACACUAGGUGGUGAGCCGCGCGUGGCCCUACAAAUACGCGCAUGUAAUUAUGCCUCGCUUCAUGAGGGAUGACGUCAGAGUGGUGGCCGGAUGGCAGGAUUGGGAUGAUGGGAAGUUGGACAUGGCUGCUGGGAUACAUACGUAGUUAGCUAACUAGAUGGAAUGGAGUGGUAAGGGAUGGAGGAUGUGUAUCACCUACCAGCUAACGCCCUUGAACUGAGAGCUCUUAUUUAUUGAACCACUGUCCGUUCUACGUGUCUGGCUGUUGGCGGUGUUCUCCAUCGUCGUCGCAUUGACGGGGUCAUCGCCUUCAAGGCCGCCGCCAUGGCCGUGGUCGAGAUGGUUGCUACCGACAUUACCAGAAGAGCGGUUGCCGGCCCUGGUGGUAGUGGACGCCUUUCCCCGCCUCUUGUUAGUGGAGCUACCGCCGCGGCGGCGAUGGCAACUGCGUUUGGUGGCUGUACCGCGCACUGGGGGUGCUUUCCGACUUGAGGUCGGCACUGCUACUGCUGGCAGCGGACGCGCAGGGGGAGUGGUGUCAUUGGGCGGGGGGACAGAAGGGUCAAGACAGAGGCUCUGGAUGAACCCAUUCGACGGCACAGGCUCCAUCCGCAGGCGAUUGAUUUACGAUAUUGCCUAGAGCACAAGUGUUGCGAGUAGUGUUAUUCCUGGAAAUGAUACGGAAAGAUAGUAGAUCUACUCGUAAUCCAUGUAGCUUGGGGAACACACUCUUAUGCCUUAUUGAUGACUGGUCACCAAUAAGCUUUUAUGAGCAUGAGUUCCCCUCACGUAGAUACGACCAUGGGAUGGGGAGACAAGGAAAGGGUCUUAUCGCUCGGUCCUAUGCUUGGUUGGUGGCAGAAAUCUUGUACUGUUCGAUGAAGUAUUUAACUUGCCUAGCUAGGCAGCCCAGGCAUUCCUAGGCACACCUAAACAGGCAUCCCUCGAGGGCGACAUACCCCGAGGUGAUCAAGGCGCGGCGAGGUACCCCGAGGCGCGGCAUCGGUUGAUGCUAUGCAGUUCUCCGUCGCUUCCCCCUCGGACAUAGAUAAAGUUCCCCCCAAGUAUUUGCCAAGGCCACGCGAAAGUCCCCAUACACGCACAAUCUUCUGCCUCGGGCUAGAAGGUUUACGAUUGCCUCUCCCUUUUUUUAAUUUAUGCGGAAACUAGAUAAUUAUUCUGUGACUAUAAUUUACAACAAAAAGUAGUCAUUUAGACGGCACAUUACGCCAACCCUGCUUGCCGAGGCUUCUAGGAUCUAGCUCGUCUAUCUGCCGGAGUAUCGAACGGUAGGUCCUAUUAGUGGUGACAUUACUAUUUUUGACGAUGAGAUGGGACGGAGCUUAGUGCGCGCACACUACCGCUUUUUUCACUUAACAUUAUACAUGCUUUUUUAAGGUAUUGUCACUGCUUUUACUCACCGUCCAAACCACAUGCGCCCCUGUGUCAGAGGGUUGACGACACCAACGCAUUGCUGAACGAAUCUAUGAUGAUUGCACUUAGACGUCAUGAUUGAGUCCGUGGAGCGACCACGGAGAACUGCGCAUUUUACAGAACAACGUUUAACCUAGAGUGCGAGGUCCGCAUUCAGCCGCCAGGAAAUAUGACGUGACACCACUGCAACCGACUCUGGCAGGAUGUACACUGGCUAGUAACAUAUGUACAGCCUCAACACUUUCAAAACGCCUCAGCUUCUCGAGCUACAACUCACCUACUCGCACGCAUACUUCUCAUGCUAGCUAUGCAAUAAAACACCACUGUUAAAUGCGGUUUGGUAUUGUGGUGUUUCAGUAUCAUGAAAAUCCCAGACUUCUCAGGCAUGUGAGCCGUGUUCACCGUAUGCCUUACACGAGCUCGUCAUAACCUGACGCAGCUUCACCGGUGCCCGAACAAAGACAUAGAACGGUAGUUGGCUCCGCAACAAUGCUAGUAUUACUGCGUACCGACGGCAUAUUUAUUUUUUUUGUCGAAGGGGAGCGGAGUCAACGGCCACAUCCCACUCUCCUAACUAACACGCUACUGCCAACCCCUACAAAUCUCCCGUCACGUGCAUCAGCUACUAUUUACCGUACCCCACCGCAAACUACCCAGCCAACCUACGUGCACCUCAAGAACAGGCCACUCUUCCAUUCGCCUCCGUUGUUGGAGGUGCAGAGGCUGCGGGACGUCUUACCAUCGGUCCAGCCGCUGCAGGGACUCCCGCUAGGGGCCCGUGUGCCGGUCACCACCGCGUUGGUGGUUCUACAGGUGCCAGCAGACUUGCAAUAUCGUUGUGGCGUCCCUUACGUCAUGCUGGUGGCCGCGUCGUGGAGCCCGUGCGCUGGCCCAGCCGUAAUGCCGCUGCCAGCCUUGGAGGCUGCGCUACCACAGCAGCCCACAGAGGCGGCAGUCGCGGCGGUGGUGCCACAGCCAGCAGCUGCGGCACUUGAUGACAUUACUCCUGACCAAAAUUUCAUUCAGCGUUCGUUGCGCGAGGUAUUGGAUGGGUCCGUGUGGGACUAGAACGCAUGNNNNNNNNNNNNNNNNNNNNNNNNNNNNNNNNNNNNNNNNNNNNNNNNNNNNNNNNNNNNNNNNNNNNNNNNNNNNNNNNNNNNNNNNNNNNNNNNNNNNNNNNNNNNNNNNNNNNNNNNNNNNNNNNNNNNNNNNNNNNNNNNNNNNNNNNNNNNNNNNNNNNNNNNNNNNNNNNNNNNNNNNNNNNNNNNNNNNNNNNNNNGGAGCUCCCACACUGACCCAUCCAAUACAUCACGCAAAAAGUCUAAGAAGUCUUGGUCAGGAUUAAUAACGUCAAGUGCCACAGCUGCUGGCUGUGGCACCACCGCCGCGACGGCCGCCUCUGUGGGCUGCUUCUCCAAGGCUGGCAGCGGCUGGGCCAGCGCAGGGGCUCCACGACGCGGCUACCAGCAUGUUCGCAAGGGAUUCCACAACGGGUUGCAAGCCUGCUGGCACCUGUAGAACCGCCACCGCGGUGGUGACCGGCACACGGGCCCCCAGCGGGAGUCCCUGCAGCUGUUGGACCGAUGGUAAGACGUCCUGCAGCCUCUAGCAAUGGGGACCACUGGAAGCGGGGCGGGUGGCGGGUGGCAUGGGGAAAAGAAGCGGGUUAUGGAAGGGUUGGAAAGUAGUAAGAGAAACGGAUCCAGAUACGGUGCAGUAGGGAAGUUAGGGAUGGGAUGGUGGGAGGAUGUGAAAUUUGGUCCGAAAGACAGGUGCAGGCGCAUCGUCUAAGUUUUUGGGACCAUAAUACAUGUUGACAGUUACCUGUUCCAAGCUGACACACUUACAUUCACAUACAUUCGGUAAUCCUACCACAUGGGUAAAUGUAUCAGAACCCCAAAACACGAUGGCUGCGAUGUCAAACACCUGCGCCGCCAGGAACUCCGUCUUGUAUGCUGCCAGGAAGUGCUGUUUGCCCUAGGACCUCUGUCCCGUCCCAACCGUGUCACACAUCCCCGUGGAUCCCACAAAUGGGCCUCCCACUUGUUGGCGUUACGGCGCAUUAGAGGGGACAGGUAGCGGCAAGCAGGGUAAGGGGCCAGGAGGGGACUGGGCGGUGGCCGCUACCCCUCCCCGCACAUGCACCGUAACGCCAACAAAAGUGGGAGGUCCAUUUGUGGGAUCCGACGGGGAUCUGCAGGAGACGUGAGCCGGGACAGAGGUCCAAGAGCAAACAGCACUUCUUGGCAGCAUAGAAGGCGGGGCUACUGGCGGCACAGGUGUUGGGCAUCGCAGCAAUCGUGUUCUGGGGUCUCGAUACCCUUACCCAUGUGGGUCACCAAGAUUACCGUAUGCAUGUGUACGGCGUGUCUAAGGUGUACAGGAUCCCUACAUAGCUUUAUGUCUGAUAAUGAACGGCCAGUGAGAGGGCAACCGCCCAAGGGUGUAUCCUAUUAUGGAUUUGUCCCCAGCCCGCCAACCCUUUCCUCUUUUCAUGAGGCCCCGCCGUGGGUUUAUGCUACGCUAAUACCGAAUGAGGCAUGGGUCCCGUCCCCAGCUUACGGUUGCAGCUCUUACCCAAUUCGUCUUGCUCCAUCCCGGCCUGGUCUCAACUCACGACGAGAAGGCGUUACGGUUGAUUGUCGACGCAGCCGGCAGCUGCAGCAGCGGUGGCGGUGGUGCUGCAGGCGCAAAGGUGAUAACAGGAUUUACAGGACGCAGAACCUGCGCCUGGAGCCAUACCAUGUAGUACAUGGAUCUCAAUACCUGUUCUCAAACGCCGGACAUAUAAUUAAAGGCGCCUUCUGAUGUAAGGGCAAGGGGAAGCGAGUAAUGGCGGCCCUGACGAUACGACGACAGUGUGUAGACCCCUGCAGCAAGCUCACCACUUCUGCUGAUAAUUGGCUGAUCAAAAUACUCACAAAGCAGAAGAAUUGUAUUCAUUUUCAUUGAAAAUUGGCGAAUGGAAAUCGGCUUGUAAUCUUGGGAUAUGAUCAUUGGCUUUAUAUAUGGAUUUCCCUAGUUAUCGGCAGUACAAAAGGCCUACGAGGAAGGUGGGCGCAGCCUCGAAGGUGGCGCCCGGUGUCGGUCGUUUCCCUGCCAAUCCGCAUCGCCAAAUCUCCCGUGCCGAGGCAAGGGCUUCCUAGGAGGUCCCAGGCAGCUGUCCUGUCCCCACGUCCUAUAUGGUUGCCGAUAAGCCUGCCCUGGCCUGGCUUAGCGCCUAGAUAGGCACGAGCCUAGAAACCAUGAUGUUAUCUAUUUUUUGACGGCCCCAGUAACCGCAACCCUCCCAUGCAUGGGCGCUAUUACAGGGUUGUUGAUGGCCCCUGCGCAUGGGGAGGGGCUUUGCGGACAUUUUGAGGACAGCGACACACCAGGCCCACCAUCGCAGCAUAACAUGUUGCUCCAUGUUGCUGCGACUUACGGCAGCGCCCUUACCCGCAAGCAUAUCCCGUUGGCCAGUGGCCCACGAGUCGCCCUCUAUCUCCUCUCCCCCUUGCCUUCCUUACCCCAUCCCCAAACACAUUCCUUGCCCCCAAGCCCCCAAGAUACGGUUCUGGCCCACCCCCGCUGAUACCUAGUUGGACGGCCCCUUCACCGUAACUGCCGAAGGGAUCUAACUCCGUUGAAUAUCUCCAUCAUCAGGCCGGCGAGUAUCUCCCCCAAGUACUCUACCUGGUGUUACAAGUGCUACCGCUGUCGCAGACCCCGCACACGCCAAGACUGUGGCGCUGCCACUGCUGCCGCUACUGCUGUUGAUGCUACUGCCGUUGCUGCUGCUGUAUCUGCCACUGCUGCUACCACUCAACUGUUAAAGCUACCACUUUUGCAUGCUGCCACCCGAACUGCUGUUGCUGCUGCCGCUGCUGCUGCCGCCACCGAGUGACCCAUAGGCCCAUUGAUGCAGUCCGGCCACCGUGCGGCCGCCGCCAUUAACACUGCUGCUGCCAUCACCGCACGUUAUUAGUCGUGCCUCUGGCCCUGGCAGCCUUACGCUGUCAGCCUGCUGGCUCCAGUGUUUCUUUCAUUACCACUGACGGGAAGGGCCCGAAGCCCCCAUAUCCCGACACGCCAUGCCAGGACUCCUUGUCGCGCGAUCGUUUCCUUUAACGCCACUACCGCAUAUCCUUCACUAGCAAAUGCCGCACCUGAUUCAGCUGCUGCCCCUGCAUACUAGGAGAGAAUGAACCAGUACAAGUUCGUGCAUGUAGCACAUCUUGGGGCUGCAGUUUCCACAGCUCCGGGCCCAGCGGCAGCAGCGCCAGCAGACUAAUGGCAACACUGCUUGAGCGCUCCAUGUCCCCUGACUUCCCAAGCGCCGUCCCUGGUCAUCACUGGCCUUGUCAUGGACCUGGUGACUCACAGAGAUGACAAUUGCAACAGCCGCGAUCAAUGCCUACCUAUGCAAAGAGGCUGGACGUGCGAGAACACCUUGGCUGAACCCAAGGGGGUCCCCACCGGGGCCGCCGGGGUCAAGGCGUGCCGUUACCAUCAUUGAAUGAGGACAUCGCUGUGAUGGAGCGCGCCCUGGGUAGCUUGCUCACGCGGACGCCCCCUUCCCCCAGCGAUUGCACCAAAGACUGAUGAGCUUUAGGUUGUGCUGUUAAGGAUUAGAGGCCAAUAGGCCCAACGACCGUGAUGAGUACGCCGCAGGUACCUGCAGGCUUUGUAACUUCGGAACGGAGAAAAACGAACAGCAUGCGGUUGGGAAAUGCCCCGCUUGUGGGCUCCCGCUUAUGAUGACUUGAGGGCUGGUUAUGGGAGAGGACUCGAGUUUCAAGGGCGCAACAUGCGCACCGUUAUGACCGAGGGGGCCCCGCCGGCAUUACCUAUCUUUUAUUAUUUCCUUUAUCUCUAGGAGACAGCGCUCCUGCGCUUUGCGCUUCGACGGGAAUGGGAGGAUGACGAUAAUCGCCCCCCACACCGUAACGUUUUCACUGACGGUCCACGGGGUCCCCGGCUUCGACUGACCCCGCACUUGUGCUGACACAGUAAGUGUACAUGUACCUACUUUGAGCCGCGAUUUGCUUGACCGUCGUACCACUAUAUCUGCUGGAAGCUAGGUUGCAGCGGGCAGGUCACUUCCCAAUGGUAUUGGGCUUCCAAGUUCACAGCCGUCCACCCAUGCAUCCAAGGACAACGAAGCCUCGAAGAUAUCUGCGUGGAUAAAUAUAGGUGGAAAGGAGGGCCGGAGUGGAGUGAGCUCCUCCGAGUGUGUGAACGGCGGUCGGUAGAGUAACGGCAGCUGGUCCAAAUUACAGCCGCUUCGGCAGGAUUGGGCCGGAGUGGGGUUUAUCCCGUAAAGUGGUCUAAGGCACUGGCAUGCACAAGGCCACGGCACGAACCUCCCUACGGGUACAGCGUGGCCCCCUUUAUUAGCGAAAUAAUUCAACGUUGUGUGUGAGGCGGAGGCCACGUUGCCUUGAGGCUGCAGCAUCUGCAUGCAUGCGGCUGUUGCAGAUCCGGCCGUCGCAAUAGGUGCCUGUAAUCGUUGGCACAAAGGACGAGGUAGUGGUAGCACUGAAAACAGCGGUAGCAGCUACAGUGCUGUGCGGCAUCGGCGUCGGCGGCCCCAAAAGUGCUCCAGCAGCGACCAUGCUUCCCCUAAUGCCCUUGUUUCCUAUGUAGCGUUUACAUGCUCCUUAUCUAGCUUGCGGUAUCAAGGCUCUUGGGCUUUUGGCUCGUCUGGGCUCGUUACACCCUCUCAUACAGACACAGUGUGGAGGUCCAAGCAAACAUGCGGUGAUUGGGGACAAUGGCACUGGGCGGGGAGAAGCGCAGUUGGGCAAGGCUGAACUGAGCAACCGCGCGGAGCGGAGACAAUACCGAUGCUAUAGAUCUGACAAAGUUUGGAGGAAAGCUAGUUGGCCGCAGCUUGAAGCGAGCUUCCUUUUCGCAAAACAGUUCCACAGCGGCCCAACACUACAUGAUUCAGCACCUAGUCCGCCAGAUCACCGAUUGACUAGUACCUUGUCAUUCGUUCAUGACUCUCGCAAGCCGGUCCGACGACGCGCUUUUGGCCAUGCCUGGCCAGCACGUCGCAGUCAUCCCCCGUAUGAGGCGAAUAAAAUCAUACAGCUAAGACGAUAGUUUGUGUUAUUUGCGAACAAGAAAUCAGGAAAAAUCCCGGGACUCAAAGUAGAUGGCUCGCUGAGAGCAACGUGUGUCUUAGGAGCAGAGCCUGGGAACAAUCUACCGCACCGUGAUAUAGCGCUUAGUUACAUAUGAAUAGGCAUAAACAUAUGAUUAAGAUGGGCAAGGGCAGUUCGGCUUGCUUGAUGCUUGAUAUCGAGCGAGCAAGCAAUAAGCUUAUUGCCCUGAGGGCCUUGCUUCCUAAUUUAAGACUUCCCUGCCUUGGUGUCUAUCUAUCUUUGGGUGAGGCCAACUAUUUCGGAAAACAGGAAUAAACUAAUAGCUUGGGUCAGAUUUCAGGAAAGCUACUAUUGUACGUAGUCGUUGCAUGUGUCCUGAAGGGACCCCGCUGAGCCCCAAGAACACACCGCCCACGCUAUAACAAAGCAAAUCUUCAUCAUUGCCCUCAAACUAACAUGUUAGUGGACCUCUCUCCAGAUUCGCUCAACAGGCUGCAUACCAAAAUCGCCGGCCCUUGCAAGUGCAGUAGUGGGUUCCGUCGCAGAGGCCCAUGAAAAUAACUAAGGUUAGCUCUUAAGUGCUAGAAACACCAUAACGAAUGAAGCUUUGCAUGCUGUUAAUUAUCGCGCGCCGGGCUUCGGUCCAUGGGCUUCGGAAAUGUGGACAAGGCAAUAGCUCGGAGAGCUCGCGAAAUCAAAAUUAUAAUUGUUCGAAUAGCAAUAACUUAUGGAAAUAGGUAGCAUGUGCGUGGAUGGAGACUAUGCUUUUGAGCCUUGCUUGUGCCGAUUCAGUUUCCUACACUUCAUAUCUCAGAGAAAUAUUUCAAAGAUUCGACGUAAACAACUUCCUAUACAGGAUUGGGGUCGUUUAUUUUUAUUCAAGGGCUGCUGGGCCUGCUAUGAACCGUCGCCGCAAGGCAUAGACAAACAAAGAGCAAACAGUAGCAAAAUACAACACCAUAGGGUUCUGUACGAGGCAUGAAUAUAUAAUUUUUCAAUAUUCUCUCAUUCCGUUGCCUCAGACCUCUCACUUUUGGUAUAAGCGUCCCCCCGUUUACACGCCUAGCAGAGCGACAGCUGGGCUGCUCUUGGCGCGAAGGCGAUAGGAAGGCAGGCGGCUGAUGUCUGUGAGGCCUGAUAUUUCCCUUGGUUGUGGGUGUGGGUCUUUGGACUCGGGCAGCGCUGCAGCGCUGGGUCAUUCGGAUGCAGCCGGACUUCGUGACCACCGCCAAGCGCCACUAUUACCACCAGUACCACCACCUCCACCGCCAGUAUCUGUAGUAGCUGGUACACAGUACGGCACACAGGACGUCUAUAAGUACAUCAGAGGCCUUUCAGCGGCCAGCUACUACAGUAUUGUCCUCUAUUGUUGUUGUUGUUACAUGGUCGUGGGUGCGUUCCCCGUACCUGCAAACCACCCUAGUACGAGCCGAGGGCUCAAGGGCUGCCAAAUCGCCUAUAAGCACCAUCCUACCUCGCACUUCCAACGAAACAAGUGAUGAGGUAUACUAACGACCAAAGGGAACGAUAGAGUUACGGUGGGACCAUAUGCGUUCCAGCAUCCUUGCCAGGCGUUCAGGUUCCCACUUCAUAGCGUCCUUCAUAUGUUCGAAGCGUGGAAAGUCCUCUAUUAGUAGUCUGUUGUAUCACGUUUCAGAAGAGUACCGACCGGCGGAUGCAGAUUCCUGAUAUGCCCAGAAUACGACAGAGUCUGCCUUUGCUGUGUUGUGCCAUGAAGCUUCUACCACGCCCUGCACGACGAGUGUGUAUCUCUACCAGGCUCUACAUUUCUUGUGCAACACUCCAAGGGGCGGGCCUCGUCACUCCUUCGGCCACAACUUUCGUUCCUCACGCCCCCAACCCGGCACAACUGCUAAAAUCAGGCACUCGUGGAACAGGCGAGUCGAGGGAAGCCUUCAGUUAUUAGCAAGCAAGGGCCUUAUUGCUCGGUAUCAAUCAUCAAGCAAGCCGACCGGCCCUUGCCCCUCUUAUUCACAUGCUUUUGUGUAUAUAGACGCAUAUAAGCUUUUCAUCGUUGGAUGAUAGAUCGUAUCCUGUCUACAGUAGUCUUUAGUAGUUGCUUUCAGCCAAAAACCUGAAGUCCAGGGAUUUUCUUGAUUUUUGUUUUCAAAGUAACACCAUGUAUCAUUUUGACUGUAUAUUCAUAUUAUUCGCGCUUGCGAUGGUGUAUUGCUGGCCAGGGAUGUAUGAUUGCGACAUGCUGCUGGCGACGCACGGCCAAAAGCGCGUCGUCGGACCGGCUUGUGAGAGCCAUGAAUGAAUGACAUAGGUAACCAGGUGCUGAAUAAAUUAAUCUUGGGCGUCUGCGGCAUAAUUUUGGAAAAGUAAGGGUAGCGAAUUGCGUCCAACCCGCUCUCCUUCAUAUUUUGUCAGAUCGGUAUCGUCUCCGCUCCGCUCCGCGCGGUCUCCGCUCGCGGUCUCCGCGCGGAGCUCCGCGCGGUUGCUCAGUUCAGCCUUGCCCAACUGCGCUUCUCCCCGCCCAGUGCCAUUGUCCCCAAUCGCUGCAUGGUUUGCUUGAACCUCCAUACUGUGUCUGUAUGUGUACCCAGAGGGGUGUAACGAGCCCAGACGAGCCAAAAGCCCAAGAGCCUUGAUACCGCAAGCUAGGUAAGGAGCAUGUCAACGCUACAUAGGAAGCAAGGGCAUUAGGAAAGCUUGGUCGCUGCUGAGCACUUUUGGCGCCCCCGACGUCGAUGCCGCGCACCACUGUAGCUGCUACCGCUAUUUCGAGUGCGACCACUACCUCGUCCUUCGUCCUAACGAUUACAGGCACCUAUUGCGACGGCCGGAUCUGCAACAGCCGCAUGCAUGCAGAUGCCGCACCCUCAAGGCAACGUGGCCUCCGCAUCACACACAAUGUUGAAUUAUUUCGCUGUUAAAAGGGGGCCACGCUGUACCCGUAGGGGGGUUCGUGCCGUGGCCAUGUGCAUGCCAGUGCCUUAGACCACUUCACGGGAUGAACCCCACUCCGGCCCAAUCCUGCCUGUGCGGUUGUAAUGUGGACCAACUGCCGUUACUCUACCGGCCGCCGUUCACACACUCCGAUCGGAGAAGCUCACUCCACUCCGGCCCUCCUUUCCACCUAUAUUUAUCCAUGCAGAUAUCUUUGAGGCUUCGCUGUCCUUGGAUGAAUGGCUGGACGGCUGAGAACUUGGAAGCCCAAUACCAUUGGAAAGCGACCUGUCCCCCACACUCGGGGGAAAAUCUACCAGUCCGUAAAAUCAGGCCCCUUCAAUCCGGAAGUUGGUGGCUUGCGCCUUACAGAUACAUGCCUUAGCUUUUACGGAUAUAUGACUUCAUUUUACGGGGGACAUGGAGCCCUCCAGCAGUGUAGCCAUUAGCCAACAGUGCGCUGCUGCCGCUGGGCCCGGAGCUGUGGAAACUGCAGCCCCAAGAUGUGCUACAUGCACGAAAUUGUUCUGGUUCAUUCUCUCCUAGUAUGCAGGGGCAGCAACUGAAUCAGCGGCGGCAUUUGCUAAUGAAGGAUAUGCGGUAGUGGUGUUAAAGGAAACGAUCGCGCAACAAGGAGUCCAUAUGCUGACGUGGCGUGUCGGUAUAUUGGUAUAUAUGUCGGCUUCGGGCCCUUCCCGUCGGUGAUAAUGAAAGAAGCACUGGAGCCAGCAGGGUGACAGCGUAAGGCUGCCAGGGCCAGAGGCACGACUAAAAACGUUCGGUGAUGGCAGCGGCAGUGUUAAUGGCGGCGGCCGCACGGUGGCCGGACUGCAUCAAUGGGCCUAUGGGUCACUCGGUGGCGGCAGCGGCAGCAGCAGUAGUUCGGGUGGCAGCAUGCAAAAAUGGCCGCUUCAGUAGUUAAGCGGUAUCAGUAGUGGCGGACGCAGCAGCAGCAACGGCAGCCAGCGGUGGCAGCAGCAACGGCAGUAGGAACAGCAGUAGCAACUGCAGCAGCAGUAGCGGCAGCAGUGGCAGCGUCACAGGCUUGGCGUGUGCGGGGUCUGCGACAGCGGUAGCACUUGUAACACCAGGUAGAGUACUUGGGGGAGAUACUCGCCGGCCCAAUGAUGGAGAUAUUCAACGGAGUUAGAUCCCUUCGACAGUUACGGUGAAGGGCAGUCCAACUAGGUAUCAGCGGGGGUGGACCAGAACCGUAUCUUGGGGGCUUGGUAGCAGGGAACGGGGGCUCCGUGUGUAUGUGUUUGGGGAUGGGGUAAGGAAGGUAAGGGGGAGAGGAGAUAGAGGGCGACUCGUGGGCCACUGGCCAACGGGAUAUGCUUGCGGGUAAGGGCGCUGCCGUAAGUCGCGGCUUCUGGAGGAGCAAGGGCCAGACAAUCCUGUCACUAUCGCGUGGCGAUGGGGACAUUAUUAGUUGGGAACCAUGGCAGCAUGGCGCAACAUGUUGGUGGGCCUGGUGUAUCGCUGUCCUCAAAAUGUCCGCAAAGCCCCACCCCAUGCGCAGGGGCCAUCAUCAACCCUGUAAUAGCGCCAAUGCAUGGGAGGGUUGCGGUUACUGGGGCCGGCAAACAGGCUCGUGCCUAUCUAGGCGCUAAGCCAGGCCAGGGCAGGCUUAUCGGCAACCAUAUAGGACGUGGGGACAGGACAGCUGCCUGGGACCUCCUAGGACGCCCUUGCCUCGGCACGGGAGAGUUGGCGAUGCGGAUUGGCAGGGAAACGACCGACACCGGGCGCCACCUUCGAGGCUGCGCCCACCUUCCUCGUAGGCCUUUUGUACUGCCGAUAACUAGGGAAAUCCAUAUAUAUAGCCAAUGAUUCAAUGACUGGAUUGUGUACAUGCCCUGCACACCCAUUCCGUGACCAGGUCCAAUAAUAAUAUUUACUUCAUAAAUUGUUUUAUUUCACUGGUAUGUGCAUCAGGGAAAGAGCUUGCUGCAGGGAUCUGUAUACUGUCGUCGUCAGGGUUGUCAUCACUCUACCUUUUGUCCCUACAUCAGAAGGCGCCUUUAUCUACGUAGCCGGAUUAUUUACAUUGCAUUGCCACGUAUUGCUCCAGGGUCCAGGCUGUAGGCUGUAUCACAUUCACGUGGUAGGCUGCUCCAGCGAAAACACCACUACCACCGCUGGCUGCAGCUCUGUCGGCAAUCAGCAGUGUUGCUUCUCAUCGUGAGGUGUGAAAGGACUGGAAUGGGGUAAGAACGACGGAUAAGAGAUGUAACCAUAAGCUGGGGACGGGGUGGUUUGUACGUACCCAUACCUUCUCACAGACAACACACGCCUGGAUAUACCAUUCCCCCAACCUAGGCCGCAGCUACAGCCCUGAUCAUAUGUUACAUCCCCCACCACCAUCGCAUCCCUUUCCAACCUGCCCACACCCCUUUUACUUUCCAACCUGCCCACAUCCCCUUUACCUUCCAACCUGCCCAUAUCCCCUUCCUAUAUCUCCUUUUCCCCAUGCCGUGCCUUCAGUCAAGCCGGGCACCGCAGCUGGGAAAUCGUCCAUCCAUCACCACUGUGUUGGCGGUUCUGCAGGCGCCUAGUACCAUCGGUCCAGCCGCUGCAGGAACUUCCGCUUGCUGCUGGCCGUGUACCGGUCACCACCGCAUUGCCGGUUGCACCGGCACCCGCAGGUUUGCAAGCGACACCACAACGGGUUGCAAAUCUUCGGGUGCCGGUGCAACUGCCAAUGCAGCGGUGAUCGACGCCUAGCAUGGAUGCUGCUGCCUGGGCGACUGUGCGGCCUCCCCACUAUGGCACUUAUGUCCGACCUAAGCCAGGACUGGAACAGCAUGUCGUAAUGGUGCUUUGGUGUCGUAACGUUCCCAGUACGGAUUGGUAAAGCUGCACAUCAUGAUGGGCAAUGCUCGCUGCCGCCCAUGGCAUCACGGGCGCAUGGGGCUGGGACGAUGAUUUUCGUCUGUUCCCAGCCAUCAUGCGGUCUUGUGCCUGAUGACUGCCCUGCACAAAAUCUCCUUGACCUCCCUUUAUCUGCACAACUUGUAAUCCGAAAUACACACAAUCUGCAUGGCAGUGCAUAUUUCCCUUGCAACUCCCUUGCCUGAUCCCUUUGAAGAGUCCCUCCACCUUUCCAUGAAGCUUUCACUCUUACUAUUCUGACCUUGGAGCCUUCGUAGCUCCGUUUGGCAGGGCAUCGGGGCACCAUGGUUUGCGCUUGUUGCAUGCAGCGGUUUGUUGCCGCUGUGAGACUCACGAGCUUUGAACUCUGAGCCCCGGGGUGCCCCAUAUUCGAUUAUGUAUGCUCGCCAUGUGUGGGUUGGGUUGUACAGCUGUGAAGGGUUCGGUUGUACAGCUUCGCGCUCACGUUGGCGUUACCAGAUGUGCUCAGCUCUUGGAUGGAUCCAGGGCGUGGAUGUGGGCUGUGAUGUUGUUAGGGAUACAUAUCUGUACGCACUAUCAGCACACACUAGCGCCCAAAGGGCUUACCGAGUUGCGGGUGUUGUGAUCUCGUGCGUCGUUGCUCUAGCGCUGGCGGCUGCUGGUCAGGUUAGGCCCCCACGUUCGCCUGUGUACGAUCGCGUCGUGGUAUGCUCAUGCAUUCCUGUCCCCCUGUGCACCAUUGCUGGUAGCGGCUGAUAGACAGCGACAUGCAGGGGUGUCAGCAGGAUGGACAAUCUGGAUAGUGCAUCUUGGGAUGUUUUAUUCCGAGGCCGUAAUGUGGAGCUGUAUUUGAGUGGAGAUCUUAUGUCUGUACGAUGAUCUGUGGACGAGAGGCAACGGUUACGCACGUUGUUCAUACAAGGCUACGCGAAAAGCGCAUGUAUGGCAGCUAAAUCCUUCAUUUGCUGAUCUUGGUGCCUCAUUUUCUUCGCUGUCUCCGCUUAUUGAUAUCUGUACAUAGGACCGCCACAGAGAUUUGCAUAAGUGUUUAGAAGGUUGUCAAUACUUCGCUACUGGCGUCGCAUAUUGUCCCAGCAGUGGUACACCCAUCUUCACUAGCGAUAUGGGCCGCUAUCUAUGACAGAUCCACCAGGAAGCUACAUAGAUAGCGGGUUAAGCGGACCUGGCUAUAAAGUACUAUUUUUACUAAUGAAGUACUAUUUUUACUAAUGAGCAUCAAUCAACACGACUUAACUUGUGGAAAUGAUUUGUUUGUUUUAUUUAAUUAUACUAACAAAUUAAUCAAUUUCUACACUUCUUUUUCAUCGGCACUUUGUCUGUGCCGCAGUGUUGUCUUGGAAGAGAAUUCAAAGCCCAUGUUCAAGCCUGGGAACGUAUAACACAAAACACCAGAUAAUGAUAUUUAAUGUGAUAUUCACAUUUACUUGGGUGAACUAUUGCACCUGGGC